RNAcentral lists this ribosomal RNA (253 nucleotides) under uncultured bacterium. RNAcentral's name for it is "partial 16S ribosomal RNA". It matches the Rfam family "Bacterial small subunit ribosomal RNA", at positions 524 to 776 of the family's 1533-position model. The record is from RNAcentral.
UACGAAGGGGGCUAGCGUUGUUCGGAUUUACUGGGCGUAAAGCGCACGUAGGCGGUUCGUUAAGUCGGGGGUGAAAUCCUGGGGCUCAACCCCAGAACUGCCUUCGAUACUGGCGAUCUCGAGUCCGGAAGAGGUGAGUGGAACUCCUAGUGUAGAGGUGGAAUUCGUAGAUAUUAGGAAGAACACCAGUGGCGAAGGCGGCUCACUGGUCCGGUACUGACGCUGAGGUGCGAAAGCGUGGGGAGCAAACAGG